This 446-nucleotide ribosomal RNA is filed under the name uncultured bacterium. RNAcentral's name for it is "bacterial SSU rRNA". It matches the Rfam family "Bacterial small subunit ribosomal RNA", at positions 354 to 796 of the family's 1533-position model. The record is from RNAcentral.
GUAAGGAAUAUUGGACAAUGGGCGCAAGCCUGAUCCAGCCAUGCCGCGUGAAGGACGAAGGCGCUCAGCGUUGUAAACUUCUUUUGGACGGGAACAAUACCCCCGACUUGUUGGGGUUUGAGGGUACCGUCAGAAUAAGCACCGGCUAACUCCGUGCCAGCAGCCGCGGUAAUACGGAGGGUGCAAGCGUUAUCCGGAAUCACUGGGUUUAAAGGGUGCGUAGGCGGUGUAAUAAGUCAGUCGUGAAAUCGCUGGGCUUAACUCAUGCAAUUGCGAUUGAUACUGUUAUACUUGAAUGGGGUUAAGGCAGGCGGAAUGUGGCAUGUAGCGGUGAAAUGCAUAGAUAUGCCAUAGAACACCGAUUGCGAAGGCAGCCUGCUGGGCCUUGAUUGACGCUGAGGCACGAAAGCGUGGGGAGCAAACAGGAUUAGAAACCCGUGUAGUCC